RNAcentral lists this ribosomal RNA (508 nucleotides) under uncultured bacterium. RNAcentral describes it as "bacterial SSU rRNA". It matches the Rfam family "Bacterial small subunit ribosomal RNA", at positions 30 to 507 of the family's 1533-position model. The record is from RNAcentral.
CGAACGCUGGCGGCGUGCUUAACACAUGCAAGUCGAACGAGAGGAGAAGGAAGCUUGCUCUUUCAAAUCUAGUGGCAAACGGGUGAGUAACACGUAAACAACCUGCCUUCAGGAUGGGGACAACAGACGGAAACGACUGCUAAUACCGAAUACGUUCCUUAGGUCGCAUGAUCUUAGGAAGAAAGGGUGGCCUCUACCUGUAAGCUAUCGCCUGAANAGGGGUUUGCGUCUGAUUAGGUAGUUGGUGAGGUAACGGCCCACCAAGCCGACGAUCAGUAGCCGGUCUGAGAGGAUGAACGGCCACACUGGAACUGAGACACGGUCCAGACUCCUACGGGAGGCAGCAGUGGGGAAUCUUCCGCAAUGGGCGAAAGCCUGACGGAGCAACGCCGCGUGAGUGAUGACGGCCUUCGGGUUGUAAAGCUCUGUGAUCGGGGACGAACGGUCAGCAGACGAAUACUCUGCUGAAGUGACGGUACCCGAAUAGCAAGCCACGGCUAACUACGUG